This 305-nucleotide unclassified non-coding RNA is filed under the name plant metagenome. Its description in RNAcentral is "partial contains 5.8S ribosomal RNA, internal transcribed spacer 2, and large subunit ribosomal RNA". The stretch from base 1 to 105 matches the Rfam family "5.8S ribosomal RNA", at positions 50 to 154 of the family's 154-position model. The record is from RNAcentral.
GAAAUGCGAUAAGUAAUGUGAAUUGCAGAAUUCAGUGAAUCAUCGAAUCUUUGAACGCACAUUGCGCCCGCCAGUAUUCUGGCGGGCAUGCCUGUUCGAGCGUCAUUUCAACCAUCAAGCCCCCGGCUUGUGUUGGGGACCUGCGGCUGCCCGCAGGCCCUGAAAAACAGUGGCGGGCUCGCUGACACACCGAGCGUAGUAGCAUACAUUCUCGCUCAGGGCGUGCUGCGGGUUCCGGCCGUUAAACGACCUUCAUAACCCAAGGUUGACCUCGGAUCAGGUAGGAAGACCCGCUGAACUUAAGC